GACUCUGUCCUUCCUGAGAGGAGGAAAUGACCAAGUUCCAGGAUCUCACCGGGAUAUGGAGCCACAUGAGAUCACAAGAACCUGCGUGUAAUGAGGCUGGGGGAAGGUCUGAAGUUCAGAUCUCAGUGGUGUGCUGGAAUCCCCCCUUGGAAAGACUGGACUUCUACAGUGUCUCUCAUCUGUGGGUAUCUGCCCAGGAUGCACUCCAUGUUUUCCCCAAACACAGCCAAGAAGGGGCUGGAGCAGGUUCAUUGGCUGUCCUCAUUCUGCAGCCCCUACCAAGGUCUGUCUGCCUAUUGCUGAACACAAGGUGGUCAAGACUCCUUUCAGGCUCCUUGGCAUAUAGUACUGGAUCCCACAAAUCCUACAGAGGCACUUUUAUUCAUGAAUGGAUGCCUAAUUAAAUGUUAAAGAAGGGAACAAGAAGGAAGAACGCUUUUCAUGCCAUGAUGCCUCUCCGUUCAGCCCGUGUAAUGUCAUUCUACUGAUUUGGUCUCCAUUGUUUCUGAUGAGAAAUCAGCUGUUAAUAUUAUUGUAUAUGGUAAAUUGCUUUUCUUUCACUGCUUUCAAAAUUUUCUGUUUCUGGCUUGACUAUAACGUAUCUAGCUGUGGGUCUGUUUGUAUUUAUACUACUUUGCAUUUAUUGAGCUUAAUGAAUAUGUAAAUUAACAUUUUUCAUCAAAUUUGGGAAGUUUUUGGAUAUUACUUAUGUUUUCUAUGCCUUUCUCUCCUCUCCUUCUGGGACUCCCAUUAUUGUUUUGUUGCUAUGUCUGGUGGCGUUCCACAGGUCUCUGAGGCUCUGUUCGCUUUUCCUCAUUCCUCUUAUGCUUUCUGGUGUCUAGACUGUAAAUCCCUAUUGAUCUAUCCUCAAAUUCACGGAUUCUUUCCAUUGCCAGCUCAAAUCUGAUGUUAAAAUCCUUCUACUGAUUUUUUUUCAUUUCACUCAUUGUACUUUGCAAGUCCAUACCUCCCAUGUUUUCUUUAAUAAUUUCUUUUUACUGAUGAUUUCUAUUUGAUGAGCCAGUGUCAUCAUACUUUCCUUUUAAUCUUUAAGCAUUGUUUCCUUUAGUUCUUUGAACAUAUUUAUAAUAGCUUUUUUGAACAAUUUUCCUGUUAAGUCCAGAAUCUGGACCCCCUGGGAGACAGUUUCUAUUAACUGUUAUUUAGAAUGGAAAACCUCUCCUGAUCUAUCUUCAAAUUCAGUGGUUCUUACUUAUGCCAGAUUAAUCCUUUUAAACAUAUUUAGACUUGUUUUAUGGCCCCAAAUAUGGUCUAUCUCAGUGAGUAUGCCAUAUGUACAUAUUCAACUUACUUAACAGUUAUAGAGCUCUUCUGCAUUUUCUAUUUAAUUUGGGUUGGAUUUAGUAUAUGUUUUUCAAAAUAUUAGUCCACCUCCUCUCAGUUAUGGAAUUUACUAACAUGAUGUUUUCCAUAAUAUCCUCUUCUCUAUAAUAUCCAUAGAUACUAUAAUCUACAUAAUGGAACACACUGGAGUUUGUCUGUGAAUUCUUCCAGAUUUUCUGCAUAGACAACCAUGCCAGCUGCAAACAAAGACUUUGUAUCUUCCUUCCUAACCUACAUACAUUUUAUUUCCCUUUCUUGCCUUACUGCAAUAGCAAGGGCUUCCAGUACAAUUUUGAAAAAGAGUGGUAAGAAGGGACAUCCUUCCCUUAUAAUAGAUCUUAAUGCAAAAGCUUUGAGUUUCUCAUUACUAAAUAUGAUCUUAACUGUAGGGUUUUUUUGUGGUCUUUAUCAAGUUGAGAAACUUCCACUCUAUUCCUAGUGAAGUUUUUAUCACAAGUUAGUGUUGGAUUCCACACAUGAAUUAUAAAGCCAUAAAAAAGGAGGAACACAACAUUUGCAACAUGAAUGGACCUUGAGAGCAUUAUGCUAAGUAAAAUAAGUCAGAGAAAGAAAGACAAGUGAUAUGAUCUCACUUGUAUUUUUUUCUUUUAAAGUAGGGUCCAUGCCCAACAUGGGGCUUGAACUCAGGACCCUGAGAUCAAGAGUCACGUGCUCUAUCAACUGAGCCAGUCAGGCACCACAAUCUGUAUUUUAACAUAUGAUCUCACUUGUAUUUGUAUGCGAAUCAAAAACGAAAGGAAGAAAGAAAAAAAGAAAGAAAACACUGAGCUCUUAAAUAAAAAGAACAGAUUGAUGGUUGCCA
Molecule: long non-coding RNA, 2167 nt
Filed under: Ursus maritimus (polar bear)
Lineage: Eukaryota; Metazoa; Chordata; Mammalia; Carnivora; Ursidae
Description: lncRNA (ENSUMAG00000016458.1)
Source: RNAcentral